GGGUGAACGCUGGCGGCGUGCCUAACACAUGCAAGUCGUGCGGGUAUCCGCAAGGGUACCAGCGGCGCACGGGUGAGUAACACGUGGGUAAUCUACCCCUCGGAGGGGGAUAACCGGGGGAAACCCCGGCUAAUACCCCAUACGAUCCAACGACGACGGUCGUUGGAUGAAAGGAGCGUUUGCUUCGCCGAGGGAUGAGCCCGCGUCCCAUCAGGUAGUUGGUGGGGUAACGGCCCACCAAGCCUACGACGGGUAGCCGGCCUGAGAGGGUGGCCGGCCACAAGGGCACUGAGACACGGGCCCUACUCCUACGGGAGGCAGCAGUGGGGAAUCUUGGACAAUGGGCGAAAGCCUGAUCCAGCGACGCCGCGUGGGGGAUGAAGCCCUUCGGGGUGUAAACCCCUGUUGCGAGGGAGGAAUAAGGCCUGGAGGAAAUGCCAGGCCGAUGACUGUACCUCGCGAGAAAGCCCCGGCUAACUACGUGCCAGCAGCCGCGGUAAUACGUAGGGGGCAAGCGUUACCCGGAUUCACUGGGCGUAAAGCGGGUGUAGGCGGCUCGGUAAGUCGGGUGUGAAAUUCCACGGCUCAACCGUGGAAUUGCGCCCGAAACUGCUGAGCUUGGGGCCCGGUAGAGGGAGACGGAACUGCCGGUGUAGGGGUGAAAUCCGUAGAUAUCGGCAGGAACGCCGGUGGGGAAGCCGGUCUCCUGGGCCGCGCCCGACGCUGAGGCCCGAAAGCUAGGGGAGCAAACCGGAUUAGAUACCCGGGUAGUCCUAGCCGUAAACGAUGCCCACUAGGUGUGGGGGAUUAAUUCCUCCGUGCUGUAGCUAACGCGUUAAGUGGGCCGCCUGGGGAGUACGCCCGCAAGGGUGAAACUCAAAGGAAUUGGCGGGACCCCGCACAAGUGGUGGAGCGCGUGGUUUAAUUGGAUGCUGAGCCAAGAACCUUACCAGGGCUUGACAUGCAGGUGGUACCGACCCGAAAGGGGAGGGACCCCAUCCUUUUGGGUGGGGAGCCUGCACAGGUGGUGCACGGCCGUCGUCAGCUCGUGCCGUGAGGUGUUGGGUUAAGUCCCGCAACGAGCGCAACCCCUGCCCUUAGUUGCCAACGGUUCGGCCGGGCACUCUAAGGGGACCGCCGGCGACGAGCCGGAGGAAGGAGGGGACGACGUCAGGUACUCGUGCCCUUUAUGCCCUGGGCUACACACGCGCUACAAUGGGUGGUACAAUGGGUUGCGACCCCGCGAGGGGGAGCCAAUCCCUAAAACCACCCCCAGUUCGGAUCGCAGGCUGCAACCCGCCUGCGUGAAGCCGGAAUCGCUAGUAAUCGCGGAUCAGCAUGUCGCCGUGAAUGCGUUCCCGGGCCUUGCACUCACCGCC
This 1379-nucleotide ribosomal RNA is filed under the name uncultured bacterium. RNAcentral describes it as "bacterial SSU rRNA". It matches the Rfam family "Bacterial small subunit ribosomal RNA", at positions 27 to 1394 of the family's 1533-position model. The record is from RNAcentral.